CUUGCUGACCCCAAUCCUCUGGACGACGACGUUUCUAAACCCACCGACGGUAGCUUGCUGAAAACAAACUCCCCCACCCCCACCGCCACCAACGUUCUGUUCCAUUAAUCCAGCCAUGUAGUUUCUCACCUCCUUCCUUAUCAUCUCCUGCAUCACCGCCAUUAAAUCCGAGCUAAGAAUCCCAAACCCAUUAUAAUUCCUCUCAUCCUUCUCCCCUGAAAUUUGUUCCUGUCCAUUUGCCGGUGCCGAAGACGGCAGGGCCGUACUCGGUCUCUCAGAAACUCCAGCCAUUGCUGGAAGAGAAUUUGCCACAAAAUUAACCUCCGAUGAGUCCGCACCCGGAAGCGACAACGACAAUGAUGUCGGUGGAUCAUUCGAAGACGACACCGUCUCGCCAGGAGGCAAAACGCCGCCGGUUCUGGCCACUGGCCGGUAUACAUGGGAGGACGACACGGCGGGGAAGAAGCCGGAAUCGCUGACGUCGGAUCCAGAAGGACUAUUCGGAGGCAUAUAAACACCUGCAGAAACCGACCUCUUCAACGGCGGGGAACUGGUAUUACAACCCCCGCUCUCGUCGGCCAUGGACGAGCACUUACGUUUCAAGGUCGAGUUCCAGUGGUUCUUGAUCGCGUUAUCGGUCCGGCCGGAGAGGAGCCUGGCGAUGGUAGCCCACUUAUUGCCGUACAGAGCUUGGGCGUUAAUGAUUGUCUCGUCUUCCUCCGGCGUGAAGGCUCGGUGCUCCACCUGCGGUGAGAGCUGGUUGCACCACCGUAGGCGACAGGAUUUGCCGGAGCGGCCUGGAAUUGAUUUGCUAAUCAAGGACCAGUUCCGAGGGCCGUAUUUAUGGACCAAUCUCUGGAGAGCAUCGUCUUCUUCAGGACUCCAGGGACCUUUGAUUCGAUCGAUUUCUUUAGCCAUGGAAGAAAAGAAAAAACAAAAACUCAGUUGCUUGGAAUCGGAGAAAACAUAGGAAGG
Molecule: unclassified non-coding RNA, 975 nt
Filed under: Hevea brasiliensis (rubber tree)
Lineage: Eukaryota; Viridiplantae; Streptophyta; Magnoliopsida; Malpighiales; Euphorbiaceae
Source: RNAcentral